GCCAUCGUUCAUACCGCGUUGGAAAUACUCGUUCUUGUCCGAUCACAAAAGUCAAGCAGCGCUGGGCACGGUUAGUAUUUAGAUGGGUAACCGCUUGGGAACUCCGUGUGGCGUUGGCU
This 119-nucleotide ribosomal RNA is filed under the name Bombus terrestris (buff-tailed bumblebee). Lineage: Eukaryota; Metazoa; Arthropoda; Insecta; Hymenoptera; Apidae. The record is from RNAcentral.